This 292-nucleotide ribosomal RNA is filed under the name uncultured bacterium. RNAcentral describes it as "partial 16S ribosomal RNA". It matches the Rfam family "Bacterial small subunit ribosomal RNA", at positions 505 to 796 of the family's 1533-position model. The record is from RNAcentral.
GUGUCAGCCGCCGCGGUAAUACGUAGGGUGCGAGCGUUGUCCGGAAUUACUGGGCGUAAAGAGCUUGUAGGCGGUUUGUCGCGUCGUCUGUGAAAACUCACAGCUCAACUGUGAGCUUGCAGGCGAUACGGGCAGACUUGAGUACUUCAGGGGAGACUGGAAUUCCUGGUGUAGCGGUGAAAUGCGCAGAUAUCAGGAGGAACACCGGUGGCGAAGGCGGGUCUCUGGGAAGUAACUGACGCUGAGAAGCGAAAGCGUGGGUAGCGAACAGGAUUAGAAACCCUUGUAGUCC